Oncorhynchus tshawytscha (Chinook salmon) is the source of this 452-nucleotide long non-coding RNA. RefSeq lists it as uncharacterized. The transcript has 6 exons. Lineage: Eukaryota; Metazoa; Chordata; Actinopteri; Salmoniformes; Salmonidae. The record is from RefSeq and is a predicted model, not a curated record.
CUCCAUCCCAGCUUCCACUCAAGAGUAACAGCAGUACAUGUAUACACUCAGAGUAACAGCAGUACAGGUAUCCACUCAGUAACAGCAGUACAGGUGUCCACUCAGUAACAGCAGUACAGGUAUUCACUCAGUAACAGCAGUACAGGUAUCCACUCAGUAACAGCAGUACAGGUAUCACUCAGUAACAGCAGUACAGGUAUCCACUCAGAGUAACAGCAGUACAGGUAUCCACUCAGUAACAGCAGUACAGGUGUCCACUCAGUAACAGCAGUACAGGUAUCCACUCAGUAACAGCAGUACAGGUAUCCACUCAGAGUAACAGCAGUACAGGUAUCCACUCAGAGUAACAGCAGUACAGGUAUCCACUCAGUAACAGCAGUACAGGUAUCCACUCAGAGUAACAGCAGUACAGGUAUCCACUCAGAGUAACAGCAGUACAGGUAUCCACUCAG